Molecule: ribosomal RNA, 492 nt
Filed under: uncultured bacterium
Lineage: Bacteria
Description: partial 16S ribosomal RNA
Rfam family: Bacterial small subunit ribosomal RNA
Source: RNAcentral
AGUGAACGCUGGCGGUAGGCCUAACACAUGCAAGUCGAACGGCAGCACAGUAAGAGCUUGCUCUUACGGGUGGCGAGUGGCGGACGGGUGAGGAAUACAUCGGAAUCUACUUUUUCGUGGGGGCUAACGUAGGGAAACUUACGCUAAUACCGCAUACGACCUACGGGUGAAAGCAGGGGAUCUUCGGACCUUGCGCGAUCGAAUGAGCCGAUGUCGGAUUAGCUAGUUGGCGGGGUAAAGGCCCACCAAGGCGACGAUCCGUAGCUGGUCUGAGAGGAUGAUCAGCCACACUGGAACUGAGACACGGUCCAGACUCCUACGGGAGGCAGCAGUGGGGAAUAUUGGACAAUGGGCGCAAGCCUGAUCCAGCCAUACCGCGUGGGUGAAGAAGGCCUUCGGGUUGUAAAGCCCUUUUGUUGGGAAAGAAAAGCAGCAGGUUAAUACCCCGCUGUUCUGACGGUACCCAAAGAAUAAGCACCGGCUAACUUCGUG